This 440-nucleotide ribosomal RNA is filed under the name uncultured bacterium. RNAcentral's name for it is "partial 16S ribosomal RNA". It matches the Rfam family "Bacterial small subunit ribosomal RNA", at positions 338 to 795 of the family's 1533-position model. The record is from RNAcentral.
CCUACGGGAGGCAGCAGUGGGGAAUAUUGCACAAUGGGGGAAACCCUGAUGCAGCGACGCCGCGUGAGUGAAGAAGUAUCUCGGUACGUAAAGCUCUAUCAGCAGGGAAGUAAAUGACGGUACCUGACUAAGAAGCCCCGGCUAACUACGUGCCAGCAGCCGCGGUAAUACGGAGGGGGCAAGCGUUAUCCGGAUUUACUGGGUGUAAAGGGAGCGUAGACGGCAGCACAAGUCUGGAGUGAAAUCCCGGGGCUUAACCACGGAACUGCUUUGGAAACUGUGCGGCUGGAGUGCAGGAGGGGUAAGCGGAAUGCGUGGUGUAGCGGUGAAAUGCGUAGAUAUUAGGAGGAACACCGGUGGCGAAGGCAGCUUACUGGACUGUAACUGACGUUGAGGCUCGAAAGCGUGGGGAGCAAACAGGAUUAGAUACCCUGGUAGUC